CAGCCGCCGCGGGAAUACAGAGGGUGCAAGCGUUAAUCGGAAUUACUGGGCGUAAAGCGUGCGUAGGCGGCUAAUUGAGUCGGAUGUGAAAUCCCCGAGCUUAACUUGGGAAUUGCAUUCGAUACUGGUUAGCUAGAGUGUGGGAGAGGAUGGUAGAAUUCCAGGUGUAGCGGUGAAAUGCGUAGAGAUCUGGAGGAAUACCGAUGGCGAAGGCAGCCAUCUGGCCUAACACUGACGCUGAGGUACGAAAGCAUGGGGAGCAAACAGGAUUAGAUACCCCCGUAGUCCCUGUCUCUUAUAC
RNAcentral lists this ribosomal RNA (301 nucleotides) under uncultured bacterium. RNAcentral's name for it is "partial 16S ribosomal RNA". It matches the Rfam family "Bacterial small subunit ribosomal RNA", at positions 509 to 807 of the family's 1533-position model. The record is from RNAcentral.